RNAcentral lists this ribosomal RNA (387 nucleotides) under Sebastes nivosus. Its description in RNAcentral is "partial 12S rRNA". It matches the Rfam family "Bacterial small subunit ribosomal RNA", at positions 794 to 1384 of the family's 1533-position model. The record is from RNAcentral. Lineage: Eukaryota; Metazoa; Chordata; Actinopteri; Perciformes; Sebastidae.
GCCUAGCCCUAAACCUUGGUAAUAUAUCACAUACCCUACCCGCCUGGGAACUACGAGCACCAGCUUAAAACCCAAAGGACUUGGCGGUGCUUUAGACCCCCCUAGAGGAGCCUGUUCUAGAACCGAUAACCCCCGUUCAACCUCACCCUUCCUUGUUUAUCCCGCCUAUAUACCGCCGUCGUCAGCUUACCCUGUGAAGGCCUAAAAGUAAGCACAACUGGCACAACCCAAAACGUCAGGUCGAGGUGUAGCGCAUGGAAGGGGAAGAAAUGGGCUACAUUCCCUAUAUUAGGGAACACGAACGGCGCACUGAAACACGCGCCUGAAGGAGGAUUUAGUAGUAAGCGGAAAAUAGCGUGUUCCGCUGAAAUCGGCCCUGAAGCGCGC